UCGAUCUCCUGACCUCAUGAUCUGCCUGCCUCGGUCUCCCAAAGUGCUGGGAUUACAGGCGUGAACCACUGCGCCCAGCCAUGUACCACAUUUUCUUUAUCCAAUUCACUGUUGAUGGGCACCUAGAUUGAUUCCAUGUCUUUGCUCUUGUGAAUAGUGCUGUGGUAAACGUGAGUGCAUGCAUCUUUUUGGUAGAAUGAUUUAUUUUAUUUGGAUAUAUACCCAGUAAGGGGAUUGUUGAGUAGAAUGGUAGUUCUAAGUUCUUUGAAAAAUCUCUAAAUGGCUUUUUUUUUUUUUUUUUUUUUGAGACGGAGUCUUGCUCUGUCGCCCAGGCUGGAGUGCAGUGGCAUGAUCUCGGCUCACUGCAACCUCCACCUCCCUGGUUCAAGCAAUUCCCCUGCCUCAGCCUCCCAAGUAGCUGGGACUACAGGCGUGCACCACCACGCCCAGCUCUUUUUUUUUUUUUUUGUAUUUUUAGUAGAGACAGGGUUUCACCACGUUGGCCAGGCUGGUCACGAACUCCUGACCUCAGGCAAUCCGUCCACCUCUGCCUCCCAAAGUGCUGGGAUUACAGGCAUGAGCCACUGUGCCUGGCCCAAAUUGCUUUUUACAGUGGCUGGACUAAUUUAUAUUCCCACUAACAAUAUAUAAGUGUAGGGAGAUGACUUCUUAACCAAAGACCUGAUGUCUAGGAGUUUGCAGCAAUAAUGCAAAUGACAACAACUGUAUUUAAUCAACUGUUAAUACCACCCUGCUGGUGCUUUCUCCAAAGCUUUCAAGUUGCAGCCUCAGCAGAUAAUGAGGUAUGGGUCGUAAUUUUAAGAAAACCACCACCAGAUGAAGAAGCUUGUGUCUGAGGUUAGAAGUGGAAACAGGGAUAGCAGGCAGGAUUGAGGGAAACUGCCCCGGGCUUAGGAUGAGACCAGAGACAGGUUGGCUGCUGUGCGGGAGGGAAGCCACUCGGCUGGAUAGGAUGAUGUAAAGUGCUCCCACAGCGUCUUGUCCACAGGGGGUGCACCACCAGCAUCCUCCUUGGAAAUGCUGGCCACAGGUGCCCUGUGUAGAAGCACAAGUGAGUUGGUGAAGAGCGGAUCCCCACCACCAAGGACUGUGUGGAAGGAAUGAGUCCACAUCCCUGACUGAUUUGGCCGACUCCGUGUGUUCCCUGGGCUGAAGUGAGUGUCCUGCUGGACUCUACAAGGCCACCCUCAGCGUGUCAGUUUCUGGGAAAAAGGGUCAGCGUUCAUGGUUAAAGACGGGAGCGCAAGGAUGAAAAUGUUCUUUUAGGAUCUAAUGUUCUUUGGGAAAGAGGCUCAGGUGAAGAAAGGAGGAGGCCGAUGCCAGCACCGGGAAGUGAGAGGAAGGAGACCCAGAUAGCAGCAGGGCCAGCCGGAGCCCAUUCCGGAUGCCAGGCUGGGGAACUGGCAGGACUUCCCUUGCUCACACAUCCUGGGGUGUAGCUGCACACGUUUGUGAACACACGCACACACACGCACACCUCGCACUCAGGCCCACAGGUGCUGCAAAGCUUAAGAUCCAACCAUGCCUUACAAAGCUGGAAUGUAAGAGACUACUGAGAAUUGAGUUCUGCCCUCCCUACCAUGCAACACCCCCAGAUAACUGAAACGGCAAUUGGAAGGGGGAAUCAAUCUCACCAGGUCAUUAAGCAAGCAUAGCUCACUUUUACUCAAAACACUGUCCUUUAAAGUAUAAAAUAAGGGUCAAAGGUUUUUUUU
RNAcentral lists this long non-coding RNA (1736 nucleotides) under Homo sapiens (human). RNAcentral's name for it is "HSALNT0251002". Lineage: Eukaryota; Metazoa; Chordata; Mammalia; Primates; Hominidae. The record is from RNAcentral.